Molecule: ribosomal RNA, 3027 nt
Filed under: Pluralibacter gergoviae
Lineage: Bacteria; Pseudomonadati; Pseudomonadota; Gammaproteobacteria; Enterobacterales; Enterobacteriaceae
Description: bacterial LSU rRNA
Rfam family: Bacterial large subunit ribosomal RNA
Source: RNAcentral
GGGUUGUGAGGUUAAGCGACUAAGCGUACACGGUGGAUGCCCUGGCAGUCAGAGGCGAUGAAGGACGUGCUAAUCUGCGAAAAGCGCCGGCGAGGUGAUAUGAACCUUUGACCCGGCGAUGUCCGAAUGGGGAAACCCAGUGCAAUUCGUUGCACUAUCGUUAACUGAAUACAUAGGUUAACGAGGCGAACCGGGGGAACUGAAACAUCUAAGUACCCCGAGGAAAAGAAAUCAACCGAGAUUCCCCCAGUAGCGGCGAGCGAACGGGGAGCAGCCCAGAGUCUGAAUCAGCGUGUGUGUUAGUGGAACGGUCUGGAAAGUCCGGCGAUACAGGGUGACAGCCCCGUACACGAAAGCACACAGGCUGUGAACUCGAAGAGUAGGGCGGGACACGUGGUAUCCUGUCUGAAUAUGGGGGGACCAUCCUCCAAGGCUAAAUACUCCUGACUGACCGAUAGUGAACCAGUACCGUGAGGGAAAGGCGAAAAGAACCCCGGCGAGGGGAGUGAAAAAGAACCUGAAACCGUGUACGUACAAGCAGUGGGAGCCCCACCACUAAGCCAGUGGUGAGUCCACGUCAGCAUCCUUUGCCGAAGGUAAGGUUAACGGAGCGCAAGCGACGUUCAACCUCAAAAGAAGCAGAGGGGGCUUAGUGGUGGGGUGACUGCGUACCUUUUGUAUAAUGGGUCAGCGACUUAUAUUCUGUAGCAAGGUUAACCGAAUAGGGGAGCCGAAGGGAAACCGAGUCUUAACUGGGCGUUAAGUUGCAGGGUAUAGACCCGAAACCCGGUGAUCUAGCCAUGGGCAGGUUGAAGGUUGGGUAACACUAACUGGAGGACCGAACCGACUAAUGUUGAAAAAUUAGCGGAUGACCUGUGGCUGGGGGUGAAAGGCCAAUCAAACCGGGAGAUAGCUGGUUCUCCCCGAAAGCUAUUUAGGUAGCGCCUCGUGAACUCAUCUUCGGGGGUAGAGCACUGUUUCGGCUAGGGGGUCAUCCCGACUUACCAACCCGAUGCAAACUGCGAAUACCGAAGAAUGUUAUCACGGGAGACACACGGCGGGUGCUAACGUCCGUCGUGAAGAGGGAAACAACCCAGACCGCCAGCUAAGGUCCCAAAGUCAUGGUUAAGUGGGAAACGAUGUGGGAAGGCCCAGACAGCCAGGAUGUUGGCUUAGAAGCAGCCAUCAUUUAAAGAAAGCGUAAUAGCUCACUGGUCGAGUCGGCCUGCGCGGAAGAUGUAACGGGGCUAAACCAUGCACCGAAGCUGCGGCAGCGACGCUUAUGCGUUGUUGGGUAGGGGAGCGUUCUGUAAGCCGUUGAAGGUGUGCUGUGAGGCAUGCUGGAGGUAUCAGAAGUGCGAAUGCUGACAUAAGUAACGAUAAAGCGGGUGAAAAGCCCGCUCGCCGGAAGACCAAGGGUUCCUGUCCAACGUUAAUCGGGGCAGGGUGAGUCGACCCCUAAGGCGAGGCCGAAAGGCGUAGUCGAUGGGAAACAGGUUAAUAUUCCUGUACUUGGUGUUACUGCGAAGGGGGGACGGAGAAGGCUAUGUUAGCCGGGCGACGGUUGUCCCGGUUUAAGCAUGUAGGCGGAGGUUCCAGGUAAAUCCGGUACCUUUUAACGCUGAGGUGUGAUGACGAGGCACUACGGUGCUGAAGUAACAAAUGCCCUGCUUCCAGGAAAAGCCUCUAAGCUCCAGGUAACACGAAAUCGUACCCCAAACCGACACAGGUGGUCAGGUAGAGAAUACCAAGGCGCUUGAGAGAACUCGGGUGAAGGAACUAGGCAAAAUGGUGCCGUAACUUCGGGAGAAGGCACGCUGACAUGUAGGUGAAGCCCCUGCGGGUGGAGCUGAAGUCAGUCGAAGAUACCAGCUGGCUGCAACUGUUUAUUAAAAACACAGCACUGUGCAAACACGAAAGUGGACGUAUACGGUGUGACGCCUGCCCGGUGCCGGAAGGUUAAUUGAUGGGGUUAUCCGUAAGGAGAAGCUCUUGAUCGAAGCCCCGGUAAACGGCGGCCGUAACUAUAACGGUCCUAAGGUAGCGAAAUUCCUUGUCGGGUAAGUUCCGACCUGCACGAAUGGCGUAAUGAUGGCCAGGCUGUCUCCACCCGAGACUCAGUGAAAUUGAACUCGCUGUGAAGAUGCAGUGUACCCGCGGCAAGACGGAAAGACCCCGUGAACCUUUACUAUAGCUUGACACUGAACAUUGAGCCUUGAUGUGUAGGAUAGGUGGGAGGCUUUGAAGCGUGGACGCCAGUCUGCGUGGAGCCAACCUUGAAAUACCACCCUUUAAUGUUUGAUGUUCUAACCUGGCGCCGUAAUCCGGCGUGGGGACAGUGUCUGGUGGGUAGUUUGACUGGGGCGGUCUCCUCCUAAAGAGUAACGGAGGAGCACGAAGGUUGGCUAAUCCUGGUCGGACAUCAGGAGGUUAGUGCAAUGGCAUAAGCCAGCUUGACUGCGAGCGUGACGGCGCGAGCAGGUGCGAAAGCAGGUCAUAGUGAUCCGGUGGUUCUGAAUGGAAGGGCCAUCGCUCAACGGAUAAAAGGUACUCCGGGGAUAACAGGCUGAUACCGCCCAAGAGUUCAUAUCGACGGCGGUGUUUGGCACCUCGAUGUCGGCUCAUCACAUCCUGGGGCUGAAGUAGGUCCCAAGGGUAUGGCUGUUCGCCAUUUAAAGUGGUACGCGAGCUGGGUUUAGAACGUCGUGAGACAGUUCGGUCCCUAUCUGCCGUGGGCGCUGGAGAAUUGAGGGGGGCUGCUCCUAGUACGAGAGGACCGGAGUGGACGCAUCACUGGUGUUCGGGUUGUCAUGCCAAUGGCAUUGCCCGGUAGCUACAUGCGGAAGAGAUAAGUGCUGAAAGCAUCUAAGCACGAAACUUGCCCCGAGAUGAGUUCUCCCUGAGACUUAGAGUCUCCUGAAGGAACGUUGAAGACGACGACGUUGAUAGGCCGGGUGUGUAAGCGCAGCGAUGCGUUGAGCUAACCGGUACUAAUGAACCGUGAGGCUUAACCUUACAACGCCGAAG